AAUGAACGCUGGCGGCGCGCCUAAUACAUGCAAGUCGAGCGAGAAGACGUAGCAAUACGUUUGUAAAGCGGCGAACGGGUGAGGAAUACAUGGGUAACCUACCCUCGAGUGGGGAAUAACUAGCCGAAAGGUUAGCUAAUACCGCGUACGCUUCUUGGACUUCGGUUCAGGGAGGAAAGCGAUGCCGAGGGUAUCGCGCUCUUGGAUGGGCUCAUGUCCUAUCAGCUUGUUGGGAGGUAACGGCUCACCAAGGCUUCGACGGGUAGCUGGUCUGAGAGGACGAUCAGCCACACUGGCACUGCGACACGGGCCAGACUCCUACGGGAGGCAGCAGUAAGGAAUAUUGCGCAAUGGGCG
RNAcentral lists this ribosomal RNA (357 nucleotides) under uncultured bacterium. RNAcentral's name for it is "bacterial SSU rRNA". It matches the Rfam family "Bacterial small subunit ribosomal RNA", at positions 29 to 377 of the family's 1533-position model. The record is from RNAcentral.